RNAcentral lists this ribosomal RNA (274 nucleotides) under uncultured bacterium. RNAcentral describes it as "partial 16S ribosomal RNA". It matches the Rfam family "Bacterial small subunit ribosomal RNA", at positions 523 to 796 of the family's 1533-position model. The record is from RNAcentral.
AUACGGAGGGUGCAAGCGCUACUCGGAAUCACUGGGCGUAAAGCGCGCGCAGGCGGGCUGAUAAGUUGGAUGUGAAAGCCUACGGCUCAACCGUAGAACUGCAUCCAAAACUGUCAGUCUAGAGUCUGGGAGGGGAAGAUGGAAUUAGUUGUGUAGGGGUAAAAUCCGUAGAGAUAACUAGGAAUACCAAAAGCGAAGGCGAUCUUCUGGAACAGUACUGACGCUGAGGCGCGAAAGCGUGGGGAGCAAACAGGAUUAGAAACCCUAGUAGUCC